Molecule: RNase P RNA, 301 nt
Filed under: Amphilophus citrinellus (Midas cichlid)
Lineage: Eukaryota; Metazoa; Chordata; Actinopteri; Cichliformes; Cichlidae
Description: Nuclear RNase P (ENSACIG00000014345.1)
Rfam family: Nuclear RNase P
About the family: Ribonuclease P (RNase P) is a ubiquitous endoribonuclease, found in archaea, bacteria and eukarya as well as chloroplasts and mitochondria. Its best characterised activity is the generation of mature 5'-ends of tRNAs by cleaving the 5'-leader elements of precursor-tRNAs.
Source: RNAcentral
GUGGGAGGAAGCUCAUCGUAGAGGUCACGUGCUGAGUGUUCAUCACUCCACCAAUCACCCUUGGGAAGGUCUGAGUCAAGAGCCAAUCGCUUCCCUAGCAGGCUAUCACCUGAAUUGGGUGAGCGAGUGAACAGAAACCGAGGGUCAAUGAGAGCAGGUAUAGCAGGAGAAGCCGGUUGGCGUCUCGUCAACGGUGGAUGCAACGCUCGACUGACUUGGAAGCGCUCGCGGCUGGCAGUUGAGUGCGAUGAAUGAGGUGGAGCACAGCUCCAGAACCCAACUCAGACUACUCUCCCCCCAC